Non-coding RNA from Peromyscus maniculatus bairdii (prairie deer mouse), 481 nucleotides. The record is from RefSeq and is a predicted model, not a curated record. Lineage: Eukaryota; Metazoa; Chordata; Mammalia; Rodentia; Cricetidae.
GAGCUCCGGGUCUCCGGAGCCUCCAGCACCAGGGUCUGAUUUUUGGAUGACGGUUCCCCAGGGGACCGGGACGCACCAAGGGUGAACGAGCUGGCCAAACCUCGUGGUAGUGGUGCCCGAUAUUAGCGAGACUAACACAAGAGGGUUACUCCAGCAAAUUAAAUGAUCUCAAAAGAUACGAAGCCUCAAAGAACGAUGUCAACAAGUCUCCCAAAAGUAAACAGCACCUAAAUGAGGUUUUAUUUUCAAACACGCCUUCCACCCAAUGUGCCGCCGAAAGAUUUGGGGAAGAAAGAGCGCCGACGCUCGGAGCGGGAAGAAGCAACUUUUCUAAACUGAGCCGAAGCAGAUCCUAGCCAGGAUCCUGGGCGCCUGGAGGCCCACUUCCACCGGGCGGGGUCGCACGGGAGCUACGGGUCGCCAGCAGCUUUCCCCAGCCGCCCUGACACCACCGGGAGAAGACCGCAGGCUGCGGAGACUC